RNAcentral lists this ribosomal RNA (253 nucleotides) under uncultured bacterium. RNAcentral describes it as "partial 16S ribosomal RNA". It matches the Rfam family "Bacterial small subunit ribosomal RNA", at positions 524 to 776 of the family's 1533-position model. The record is from RNAcentral.
UACAGAGGGUGCGAGCGUUGUCCGGAAUCACUGGGCGUAAAGGGCGCGUAGGCGGCCUGAUAAGUAGGGGGUGAAAUCCUGUGGCUUAACUGCAGGGCUGCCUCCUAGACUGUUAGGCUCGAGCACGGUAGAGGCAGAUGGAAUUCCCAGUGUAGCGGUGAAAUGCGUAGAUAUUGGGAGGAACACCAGUGGCGAAGGCGGCUCACUGGACUGGUACUGACGCUGAGGCGCGAAAGCGUGGGGAGCAAACAGG